AAAAAAAAAAAAGACAGCUCAGAGAUAAUCCCUGCUGCACCUACGGAGACCCCCAACGUCUCAAUGUCCAGGCUGGAGGAAAUGGAUGGUAGAUAACUGAGGUCAGCUGUUGGUGUUACCCUGGAGGAAGACCCUGGGGAUGGCAUGAUGAAGAAGAAACCACAGCCCCCACGACCAGACAACUGCCUUCCAGAUCACUUGAUUCGACCAGGAGGGACGAGCUCAGACCAGGAGGGACGAGCUCAGACCAGGAGGGACGAGCUCAGACCAGGAGGGACGAGCUCAGACCAGGAGGAGCUCAGACCAGGAGGGACGAGCUCAGACCAGGAGGGACGAGCUCAGACCAGGACAGAUAGUUGUUACAAUUUGCACAAAUUCUACAGAUAGAGAGACCUCUUAGAAAACAAUGGCUGAACCCCUUCCACAAAGCAAGGGUCGCGUGGCACUCCUCGAGUGGAAGGCCAAGCAGUUCAAUGAGCUACUUGAAAAACACAAAACGGGCUAUAACGACAACAUCAAGUCCAAAAUCAUCCAAAUAGACGCCUUGCAGGCUAAAGUCCGGGCUCUCAAGGCAGAGCUGAAAACUCGCAAGGAGAGAGAGGAAGAACAGAAAACCAAGUUCCACUUGAGGCAAGAAGAAAGGAAGAGCGCUGUCCUAGAAAAUGCCGUCUGGAUCCAAAAAUGGGAGGAGUCGGUUAAAAAACUA
Molecule: long non-coding RNA, 706 nt
Organism: Perca fluviatilis (European perch)
Lineage: Eukaryota; Metazoa; Chordata; Actinopteri; Perciformes; Percidae
Exons: 3
Source: RefSeq, a predicted model, not a curated record